UCCGUAGGCGGGCGUCUAAGUCAGUAGUGAAAUCUUACAGCUCAACUGUAAAAUUGCCAUUGAUACUGGAUGUCUUGAAUUAGUGUGAAGUGGUUAGAAUGUGUAGUGUAGCGGUGAAAUGCAUAGAUAUUACACAGAAUACCAAUUGCGAAGGCAGAUCACUAACACUAUAUUGACGCUGAGGGACGAAAGCGUGGGGAGCGAACAGGAUUAGAUACCCUGGUAGUCC
Molecule: ribosomal RNA, 229 nt
Filed under: uncultured bacterium
Lineage: Bacteria
Description: partial 16S ribosomal RNA
Rfam family: Bacterial small subunit ribosomal RNA
Source: RNAcentral